UGGGGAAUUUUGGGCAAUGGGCGAAAGCCUGACCCAGCAACGCCGCGUGAAGGAUGAAGUAUUUCGGUAUGUAAACUUCGUAAGAAUAGGAAGAAUAAAUGACGGUACUAUUUGUAAGGUCCGGCUAACUACGUGCCAGCAGCCGCGGUAAUACGUAGGGACCAAGCGUUGUUCGGAUUUACUGGGCGUAAAGGGCGCGUAGGCGGUUUGUCAAGUCAGUUGUGAAAUCUCCGAGCUUAACUCGGAACGGUCAACUGAUACUGUCAAACUAGAGUACAGAAGGGGCAAUCGGAAUUCUUGGUGUAGCGGUGAAAUGCGUAGAUAUCAAGAGGAACACCUGAGGCGAAGGCGGGUUGCUGGGCUGAUACUGACGCUGAGGCGCGAAAGCUAGGGUAGCAAACGGGAUUAGAUACCCAUGUAGUCCCUGAGCGGGCUGGCAAGGCGCAU
RNAcentral lists this ribosomal RNA (447 nucleotides) under uncultured bacterium. RNAcentral describes it as "bacterial SSU rRNA". It matches the Rfam family "Bacterial small subunit ribosomal RNA", at positions 355 to 825 of the family's 1533-position model. The record is from RNAcentral.